CCAAUAGAAAUCAUUUCCAUUUGAAGACAAGGCAAUGGGUGAAAAGGCUCACAAACCGGAAUUGAAGUGUGAUGGCACCCAGUAACUGUGUGUGAAGAGCCACAGCUGAUAGAUCAACAACUUGCGCUCCUCAUGGAGAGCAGUACCCAGCGGACCCCAGUAUAACACAGCUCUGCCACCCACAAAGCUGGCGAAAGAGGUCAUGUGAUUAUAACUAACCUCCAGUCAACCAGAGGAUGGCUAAUUCCUGAUGUCUAAAAGCAGCAUUGAUCCCUUUCCAAUGAAUGAUCUUCACAUUCAGCAAAAAUCAAGCACUUUUCUACGGGAAAGAAAGAGGAUGCUUUUAAAUACUGUGAACAUGAAAGACUUUAAGACACAAAAUAGAUUUUAUCCAUCCCGAAAAAUUCCAGUGGAGCAGCUCAGAAUGUUAACACGUUUGCUCAUUAAUUAACCCUGCAUGUUUGAGCAACAAGUAUGAGUUAAUAUUCAAUGUACAUUAUUAGAUUAGUUAUACUAUA
Long non-coding RNA from Pelobates fuscus (common spadefoot toad), 518 nucleotides. RefSeq lists it as uncharacterized. The record is from RefSeq and is a predicted model, not a curated record. The transcript is spliced from 3 exons. NCBI's taxonomy places the organism in Eukaryota, Metazoa, Chordata, Amphibia, Anura, Pelobatidae.